RNAcentral lists this unclassified non-coding RNA (413 nucleotides) under soil metagenome. Its description in RNAcentral is "partial contains 5.8S ribosomal RNA, internal transcribed spacer 2, and large subunit ribosomal RNA". The stretch from base 1 to 120 matches the Rfam family "5.8S ribosomal RNA", at positions 35 to 154 of the family's 154-position model. The record is from RNAcentral.
GAUGAAGAACGUAGCGAAAUGCGAUAAGUAAUGUGAAUUGCAGAAUUCAGUGAAUCAUCGAAUCUUUGAACGCACCUUGCGCUCUUUGGUAUUCCGAAGAGCAUGCCUGUUUGAGUGUCAUGAAAAUAUCAACCUUGACUUGGGUUUUGUGCUCUAGUCUCGGCUUGGAAUUGGGUGCUUGCCGCUUUUACGAGCGGCUCACCUUAAAUGUAUUAGCUGGAUCUGUCUUUGAGACUUGGUUUGACUUGGCGUAAUAAGUAUUUCGCUAGGGACAUUCUUCGGAGUGGCCUCGUUUCUAGGACGCUUGUCCGCUUUCCAAUACAAGUUCCACCUCGUGGACAUGACUUUUUAUUAUCUGGCCUCAAAUCAGGUAGGACUACCCGCUGAACUUAAGCAUAUCAAUAAGCGGAGGA